UGGGAAAUAGCUCAGUAGGUAGAGCGGCGGCCUUAUAAGCCGCGUGCCAGAGGUUCGAUUCCUCUUUUCCCAA
Molecule: transfer RNA, 73 nt
Filed under: Bacteriophage sp.
Also listed under: 1 other name
Description: tRNA-Ile
Rfam family: tRNA
About the family: Transfer RNA (tRNA) molecules are approximately 80 nucleotides in length. Their secondary structure includes four short double-helical elements and three loops (D, anti-codon, and T loops).
Source: RNAcentral